AGUGAACGCUGGCGGUAUGCCUAACACAUGCAAGUCGAACGGCAGCACAGUAAGAUCUUGCUCUUACGGGUGGCGAGUGGCGGACGGGUGAGGAAUACAUCGGAAUCUACUUUUUCGUGGGGGAUAACGUAGGGAAACUUACGCUAAUACCGCAUACGACCUACGGGUGAAAGCAGGGGAUCUUCGUACCUUGCGCGAUUGAAUGAGCCGAUGUCGGAUUAGCUAGUUGGCGGGGUAAAGGCCCACCAAGGCGACGAUCCGUAGCUGGUCUGAGAGGAUGAUCAGCCACACUGGAACUGAGACACGGUCCAGACUCCUACGGGAGGCAGCAGUGGGGAAUAUUGGACAAUGGGCGCAAGCCUGAUCCAGCCAUACCGCGUGGGUGAAGAAGGCCUUCGGGUUGUAAAGCCCUUUUGUUGGGAAAGAAAAGCAGCAGGUUAAUACCCCGCUGUUCUGACGGUACCCAAAGAAUAAGUACCGGCUAACUUCGUG
RNAcentral lists this ribosomal RNA (492 nucleotides) under uncultured bacterium. Its description in RNAcentral is "partial 16S ribosomal RNA". It matches the Rfam family "Bacterial small subunit ribosomal RNA", at positions 29 to 507 of the family's 1533-position model. The record is from RNAcentral.